CCCUUCCCUCUCACUUUACCAUUUUAGCCCUUACUCUCACUCUCUCACCUUAAAGAUUUCUCCAUCUCACUCAUUUCAAACAUCUGGUCCAAAAAAGCUUCUUCUCUCUGUUUUCAAAAAGUCUUUGAAAUUUCACUCUCUGUUUUCUGGCUUCCAAAGUCUUGAAAAUUUCACUAGACCCACAUGAAGGUUUCUCUUGUAUGGUGUUGAUAGCUCCUGAACUCGAAGAUCAACAUGUUCACUACUUACAAUUCUACCCUUAUCAUCCUUCUCUUCCUCGUUUUCAUCAUCACUCCACAAGUCUCAUCCUUUCUUCAACCUGUCCAGCCUCCUAAUUCCCCUCAAGUAGCUUUGGUCGAAGAUAAAGCGAGAUUAGGCUCUACACCACCGAGCUGCCACAACAGCUGCAACGGCUGCCAUCCCUGUAUGCCUACUCAAGUUCCCACUCUCCCUAGUCGCUCCCGUUUCACCCGAGUUGACCCGUUCUCCGGCGGAUUCGUACGGCCUCCUUCCUCUCUAACCAGCGUCCUUGAUCAGUACUCUAACUACAAGCCCAUGGGCUGGAAAUGUCACUGCAAUGGUCACUUUUACAACCCUUGAAAAACCAUCACCAUCGUCCUCUGCUUUGAACUAGAUUUGAUUCGAAUGGAACAACACACUGUCAAAGUUGAUAAAUCAAUUUUGUCUCACCUGCCUCGAUGUCCUACACAAUCACUGUUUGAGACUUCUCGUGAAUCUUCAGUAGACCCAUAUCUGAAAUCCACGGCGAUAGAAGAGAGACACUCAAAGAGUUGUUGGGGUUUGGAGAGCAUCACCAUGUGAUCUCCACCGUCGAUCUCGUACACUUUUGAGACGUUGAAAUUAUCAA
Molecule: RNA transcript, 868 nt
Organism: Raphanus sativus (radish)
Lineage: Eukaryota; Viridiplantae; Streptophyta; Magnoliopsida; Brassicales; Brassicaceae
Gene name: EPIDERMAL PATTERNING FACTOR-like protein 1
Exons: 4
Source: RefSeq, a predicted model, not a curated record